This is a long non-coding RNA of Asparagus officinalis (garden asparagus), 270 nucleotides long. RefSeq lists it as uncharacterized. The record is from RefSeq and is a predicted model, not a curated record. Lineage: Eukaryota; Viridiplantae; Streptophyta; Magnoliopsida; Asparagales; Asparagaceae. The transcript is spliced from 3 exons.
AAACAUGAAGCUGUCAAGACUCGGGAAGAAUGAGAGUUUCUUUGCACUCAUUUUUCUAGUGAAAAGUUUAAGGCAACACAGACUGGAGAGAUGCAAGGUGCAAUUGAUCGUUUUGAAACAGAGUAUAGAAGUACAAAAAAAGGAUGGGACUUGGGAGCAAAGGAAAAAUGGGAACAAAUGAUAAAGAUGCGAGCAGAUACCACUCAACCUGAUGGAACUCGAACAAUGACAGAUGAGAAAAUUUGUGCAAAAGUUCUCAAAGUCAAAUGA